Molecule: ribosomal RNA, 1343 nt
Filed under: uncultured bacterium
Lineage: Bacteria
Description: 16S ribosomal RNA
Rfam family: Bacterial small subunit ribosomal RNA
Source: RNAcentral
GACGAACGCUGGCGGCGUGCUUAACACAUGCAAGUCGAACGGAAAGGCCCUGCUUUUGUGGGGUGCUCGAGUGGCGAACGGGUGAGUAACACGUGAGUAACCUGCCCUUGACUUUGGGAUAACUUCAGGAAACUGGGGCUAAUACCGGAUAGGAGCUCCUGCUGCAUGGUGGGGGUUGGAAAGUUUCGGCGGUUGGGGAUGGACUCGCGGCUUAUCAGCUUGUUGGUGGGGUAGUGGCUUACCAAGGCUUUGACGGGUAGCCGGCCUGAGAGGGUGACCGGCCACAUUGGGACUGAGAUACGGCCCAGACUCCUACGGGAGGCAGCAGUGGGGAAUAUUGCACAAUGGGCGGAAGCCUGAUGCAGCAACGCCGCGUGCGGGAUGACGGCCUUCGGGUUGUAAACCGCUUUCGCCUGUGACGAAGCGUGAGUGACGGUAAUGGGUAAAGAAGCACCGGCUAACUACGUGCCAGCAGCCGCGGUGAUACGUAGGGUGCGAGCGUUGUCCGGAUUUAUUGGGCGUAAAGGGCUCGUAGGUGGUUGAUCGCGUCGGAAGUGUAAUCUUGGGGCUUAACCCUGAGCGUGCUUUCGAUACGGGUUGACUUGAGGAAGGUAGGGGAGAAUGGAAUCCCUGGUGGAGCGGUGGAAUGCGCAGAUAUCAGGAGGAACACCAGUGGCGAAGGCGGUUCUCUGGGCCUUUCCUGACGCUGAGGAGCGAAAGCGUGGGGAGCGAACAGGCUUAGAUACCCUGGUAGUCCACGCUGUAAACGGUGGGUACUAGGUGUGGGGUCCAUUCCACGGGUUCCGUGCCGUAGCUAACGCUUUAAGUACCCCGCCUGGGGAGUACGGCCGCAAGGCUAAAACUCAAAGGAAUUGACGGGGCCCCGCACAAGCGGCGGAGCAUGCGGAUUAAUUCGAUGCAACGCGUAGAACCUUACCUGGGUUUGACAUGGAUCGGGAGUGCUCAGAGAUGGGUGUGCCUCUUUUGGGGUCGGUUCACAGGUGGUGCAUGGCUGUCGUCAGCUCGUGUCGUGAGAUGUUGGGUUAAGUCCCGCAACGAGCGCAACCCUUGUUCACUGUUGCCAGCACGUUAUGGUGGGGACUCAGUGGAGACCGCCGGGGUCAACUCGGAGGAAGGUGGGGAUGACGUCAAGUCAUCAUGCCCCUUAUGUCCAGGGCUUCACGCAUGCUACAAUGGCUGGUACAGAGAGUGGCGAGCCUGUGAGGGUGAGCGAAUCUCGGAAAGCCGGUCUCAGUUCGGAUUGGGGUCUGCAACUCGACCUCAUGAAGUCGGAGUCGCUAGUAAUCGCAGAUCAGCAACGCUGCGGUGAAUACGUUCCCGGG